Molecule: transfer RNA, 64 nt
Filed under: Brephallus tramlapensis
Lineage: Eukaryota; Metazoa; Arthropoda; Insecta; Blattodea; Blaberidae
Description: tRNA-Asp
Rfam family: tRNA
About the family: Transfer RNA (tRNA) molecules are approximately 80 nucleotides in length. Their secondary structure includes four short double-helical elements and three loops (D, anti-codon, and T loops).
Source: RNAcentral
GAAGAGUUAGUUAAUUAUAACAUUAGAUUGUCAAACUAAAAUUAUCAAAUAUUGAUACUCUUCA